RNAcentral lists this transfer RNA (69 nucleotides) under Aprasia parapulchella. RNAcentral's name for it is "tRNA-Glu". It matches the Rfam family "tRNA". From Rfam's summary of the family: Transfer RNA (tRNA) molecules are approximately 80 nucleotides in length. Lineage: Eukaryota; Metazoa; Chordata; Lepidosauria; Squamata; Pygopodidae. The record is from RNAcentral.
GUUUUUAUAGUUGAAUAACAACGGUGGUUUUUCGUACCAUAGGUUUUGGUUUGAGGCCAAAUAAAAAUG